RNAcentral lists this ribosomal RNA (657 nucleotides) under uncultured Tomentella. Its description in RNAcentral is "eukaryotic LSU rRNA". The stretch from base 224 to 377 matches the Rfam family "5.8S ribosomal RNA". Lineage: Eukaryota; Fungi; Basidiomycota; Agaricomycetes; Thelephorales; Thelephoraceae. The record is from RNAcentral.
AGGAUCAUUACUGAGUUGUUGAAGCGGGCUGCUGCUGGCUCCUUUCGGGGGCAUGUGCGCGCUUGUUCACAUUUCAUCCUUCACACUUGUGCACCAUCUGUAGUUCCGAGCCGAUUAUCAGAGGCGUUCGCUCGCCUCAAAAGCUCGGUUCUAUGUUAUUUCAAUGACUUAGUUCAAUAGAAUGUGUUCACGGGCGUGUACAACGUCUGAUAAUAAUAUAUAUAACUUUCAGCAACGGAUCUCUUGGCUCUCGCAUCGAUGAAGAACGCAGCGAAAUGCGAUAAGUAAUGUGAAUUGCAGAAUUCAGUGAAUCAUCGAAUCUUUGAACGCACCUUGCACCCUUUGGCAUUCCAAAGGGUAUGCCUGUUUGAGUAUCAUGAAAUUCUCAACUCCCCUCGGAUUCCAUCCGUAGGGUGAGCUUGGACUUGGAGGUUUCUGCUGGCGUUCGCCGGCUCCUCUUGAAAUCAUUAGCUUUGAGUUGAUCUCGAUGGCUUGACCGGUGUGAUAAACAUCUACGCCGAUUUGUGCCGUCCUGAGCGACGAACGUCGGAGACGCUCUGGCUUAUAACCGUCUUCACCAGAGGACGACGCCCUGAACUUUUGAUCUCAAAUCAGGUAGGACUACCCGCUGAACUUAAGCAUAUCAAUAAGCGGAGG